AUUGAACGCUAGCGGGAUGCUUUACACAUGCAAGUCGAACGGCAGCGCGGACUUCGGUCUGGCGGCGAGUGGCGAACGGGUGAGUAAUGUAUCGGAACGUGCCCAGUAGCGGGGGAUAACUACGCGAAAGCGUAGCUAAUACCGCAUACGCCCUACGGGGGAAAGCAGGGGAUCGUAAGACCUUGCACUAUUGGAGCGGCCGAUAUCGGAUUAGCUAGUUGGUGAGGUAACGGCUCACCAAGGCGACGAUCCGUAGCUGGUUUGAGAGGACGAACAGCCACACUGGGACUGAGACACGGCCCAGACUCCUACGGGAGGCAGCAGUGGGGAAUUUUGGACAAUGGGGGCAACCCUGAUCCAGCCAUCCCGCGUGUGCGAUGAAGGCCUUCGGGUUGUAAAGCACUUUUGGCAGGAAAGAAACGUCGCGGGCUAAUACCCCGUGGAACUGACGGUACCUGCAGAAUAAGCACCGGCUAACUACGUG
RNAcentral lists this ribosomal RNA (484 nucleotides) under uncultured bacterium. Its description in RNAcentral is "partial 16S ribosomal RNA". It matches the Rfam family "Bacterial small subunit ribosomal RNA", at positions 30 to 507 of the family's 1533-position model. The record is from RNAcentral.